This is a long non-coding RNA of Humulus lupulus (European hop), 779 nucleotides long. RefSeq lists it as uncharacterized. The transcript has 6 exons. The record is from RefSeq and is a predicted model, not a curated record. Lineage: Eukaryota; Viridiplantae; Streptophyta; Magnoliopsida; Rosales; Cannabaceae.
AAUACCGCCAACCAAAAUGACUAAGUUGUUUCUAGUUUCCCGUGUACCCAUUUCCCCUUACCCAUUUCUUCUUCUUCAAUCUUUCUCUUCACGAAGGCUAGUAGCUCUCUCGGUCUCUCUCGGUCAUUCCCGUAGGCUAGUAGCUCUCUCGGUCUCUCACUCCCCUUCACGAAAGACAAAUCUGAGAAGGGCUUCACCACAUUCGAGUCAAGGGUUUCUCUGAUUCAAGAUGAAAUUACUACAGUUGAAAUUUCUUGUUUCAAUCCGCGAAGAACAACGAAGGAGCUUUACGCUAUCGUCCUUCGUACAAUGUUUCCCCGGGAUCAAACAUACCCGGUAUCCGCAGAGAAGACGGCUCUGAUGGUGCAGUGGUCCUCCAAUGCAUGAAAUGGGGACUUAUUCCCAGUUUCACUAAGAAAACUGAGAAAUGUGAUCACUAUAAGAUGUUUAAUGCUCGAUCUGAGUCCAUCAGUGAAAAGGCUUCUUUCCGUCGUCUUAUUCCUAAAAAUCGGUGCCUUGUUUCAGUAGAAGGACAACCUGCUGGCUGGGUUUAAAUAUGAAGGGAUUUGACUAUUUAUUUAAUGACUUGGUGCAAGAUCUAAAUAGAUUUAUUGAUGAGAAGAGUGAAAGCAGAGGAGAAAAAAUUUAGCAGCUUUACAAGAUACUGAAAGAGCACAAGAAUCCCAAGGUUCUUAGCGAGGGGCUACUGUGGAUGGUUUCAGCAGUGGAAGAUUUUGGCAUCUCACAUUUGAAACUUAAGAUACUGGACUGCACUCAAG